This 504-nucleotide ribosomal RNA is filed under the name uncultured bacterium. RNAcentral's name for it is "partial 16S ribosomal RNA". It matches the Rfam family "Bacterial small subunit ribosomal RNA", at positions 28 to 523 of the family's 1533-position model. The record is from RNAcentral.
GAUAAACGCUAGCGGCAGGCUUAACACAUGCAAGUCGAGGGGCAGCAUAGAUUGUAGCAAUACAAUUGGUGGCGACCGGCGCACGGGUGCGUAACGCGUAUGCAACCUACCCGUCACAGGGGGAUAAUCCGGAGAAAUCUGGUCUAAUACCCCAUAACAUAUGGAUCGGCAUCGGUUCAUGUUGAAAUUUUCGGAGGUGACGGAUGGGCAUGCGUAGCAUUAGCUUGUUGGUGAGGUAACGGCUCACCAAGGCGACGAUGCUUAGUGGGACUGAGAGGUUUUCCCCCCAAACUGGUACUGAGACACGGACCAGACUCCUACGGGAGGCAGCAGUGAUGAAUAUUGGUCAAUGGGCGCAAGCCUGAACCGGCCAUGCCGCGUGCAGGAUGACGGCUCUAUGAGUUGUAAACUGCUUUUGUACGAGGGUAAAGUGGGUUACGUGUAACCUUUUGAAAGUAUCGUACGAAUAAGGAUCGGCUAACUCCGUGCCAGCCGCCGCCGUAA